GAAAAGAAAAGAGAAAUUAGAAAAGAGAAAAGAAAUUAAAAAUAAUAAUGAUAAUAAUAUAUUUUCUCUCUCUCCUCUUCAUGCACACGCAUCAGAAAUCCCCCUAAUUUUUUUUUCUUUUCCGUUUCGUGAAACCCUAACGCCACCGACUCCCUUUGUCGCCGUCGAAGCCCAACCAUCGUCGGAACUCAACCGCAUCGCCGUUCCCUUUAAUUCUGUCGCCACUAGAUUUCUCUGCCACUGUCAGGUUUUUAAAGGAGAUAUCGACCAUGAGGAGAGGAGAUUACGAAGGGAAAGAGCUAGAAGAUAGCAAGAAGAAUUUGAAGAAUUGGGUCAAGAAGAAGAACAAGUACAACCAAACAUUAUGGGCGAAGCAAGAGAACAAACUUUGCGUGAGCUAGCGAAACCCGAUUAUAAUCAACCUCCUCUUUGCAUCGUAUACCCGGAGACAACAAUCCCAUUUGAACUCAAACAGGGGCUUACAUUUAUUUCCUACUUUCAUAGGGCAACCCGGUGAAGACCCUCAUAAACACAUGAAGGAGUUCCACCUUAUUUGUGACGGAAUGUCCUCAUAGAGUGACACAAGAUCAACUCAACCUUAGAACCUUCCCUUUUUCUUUGAAGGAUGUGGCUAAAGAUUGACUAUACUACCUAUCAGCAGUCGCCUAAGGUUGAGCUGCGUCAAUCCUUUUCUUCAAGCUGCACUGCCAGAUCCGAUGCCCAACCAACGUUUGCGCUUCCAGCCGCGCCACCGAACGUUGGCCUAUUUUUGGUUAAAUCUUGAUUGUGGAGGACUAAUUUGAAUUUUCAAAGAGGUUUGGAGCCACUGUUUAAACAUUGUCAAAAGCAUUUUGACAUGUUAUGAAUUGAGUUUUACUUGAGACCUUGGAAAGGAUUUUUUUAUUGGAAGUAGAGCAUGCUUUUGGUUCUAAUUCAAGAUUUGAUGAGAAAUUGACUUGCAUGGAUAACGAUAAUUAAUCUUGUAAUUUAAAGUAAGUAAUCUCACUAAUGGAACUGUCUAGGUGCCAUGCGAUAAAUUUAAGAUUAAUUAUGAGGAUUCUAAGAUUGUUUUCAUUGAGAUGCAUGAGAACAAGUAAGCUGAUCUUGAUUAUGUUUUGAAGCAUGAUAUGAGUGCUAGCAUGAACUAAUUUUUUUGUUAUUAUGAUUUGCUAGAUGAACAUUGAGCAUGAUGAUAUAUAUUUGCAUGUUUAUGGGCCUAUGUUUUAUGAUGCAUGUUAUGCUUAUGAUAGUGAUAGUUAUUCCUAGCCGUAAUUAGAUACCUGCCAGAGGUGAUGAACUCCUUCGGGACUUCACUAGAGGUUUUUGUUUCCUUCGAAAUUCACCAGAGGUUUGUGUUUCCUUCGGGAUUCACCAGAGGUGGUGAUCUCCUUCAAGAUUUCACUAGAGGUUUUCCCUUGGAUUCACCAGAGGUUUGUGUUUUAUUUGAGAUUUACUAGAGGCGGUGAUAUCCUUUGGGAUUUCACCAGAGGUUUGUAUUUCCUUCGGGCUUCACCAGAGGUUUGUGGGUACAUCUCACUUACAGUAGGGUAGGUUCAACUAUCCAUUAGUUAGCCAUCCCAUGGAAAGUAGAAGUUUAUGCGCGUCCUACUAGAGAGUAAAAUCUAGAGGACAUAGAUGCUUAGCCUGACCCCAAUAGUGGGGUUACUUUCGGAGUAUUUUAUACUCAUUCUUUCUCAUGUUUAUUUUUCAGGUAAGAGUAAGAGCAUGCAAGCAGAAUCCGUGAUCA
Benincasa hispida (wax gourd) is the source of this 1747-nucleotide long non-coding RNA. RefSeq lists it as uncharacterized. The record is from RefSeq and is a predicted model, not a curated record. Lineage: Eukaryota; Viridiplantae; Streptophyta; Magnoliopsida; Cucurbitales; Cucurbitaceae.